This is a long non-coding RNA of Pseudopipra pipra, 12832 nucleotides long. RefSeq lists it as uncharacterized. The record is from RefSeq and is a predicted model, not a curated record. NCBI's taxonomy places the organism in Eukaryota, Metazoa, Chordata, Aves, Passeriformes, Pipridae. The transcript is spliced from 2 exons.
GAUAGUGGGAGGUGUCCCUGCCCAUGGCAGGGGUGUUGGACUAAAAUGAUCCUUAAGGUCCCUUCCAACCCCAACCAUUCCAUGAUUCUGUGUUUCUAUGAAAUUAUUUGAUAAUUAUUGUGGUGUUUAAUGUGUGCAGGAAACACAGAGCCUGUCCCUGUAGUAACUUUUGGAUUUGACCCAUUUCAACCACAUUUUUCAGUGUAGAUUUUUGCUUGCAGAGUCCAUGAAAACAGAGGAGAGAGAAAAACCUGUUCCAGUCCCCAGGGAGUAAAAGCUGACACAUUGUGUCAGAGAGUCCACAAGUGAGUUCACCAGGAGACACCAAUUAUUCCAGCUGACAAGGUGGUGAUUGUUCAAAGGUUGGACUGGAUGAUCUUGAAGGUCUUUUCCAACCUAAAUGACUCUGUGAUUAUUUUUCACUGAGCUCCAUCACCCCUCUGCUCACAACCCUGGCCAUCCCUGAGGACAUUCCUCUUUUCCAAGUAAGUCUUUGGCAGAACUGAUGCCAUAAUCUGAGUCCAGGGCUCCGGUUUUCCUCCUGCAGCUGCUGAUCCCAGCUCAGAUGGCACAACGGGACGGGGUGGGAUAGAUCUGCACGUGUUCCGUGGAUCUGUGGGAGCUCCCGGUGUCUCCUGGUUACAGAGAUUUUGUUCGAUUGUGUUGGUUUAACUCAGUGGGAGGUUGUUUGAGAAGGAAAUGAAAGGCUCAAUGAACAGGGAAUGCUUGAAGAGGUGUUAAGAGGAAAUUCCAGGCAUCUGAGCUUUAGGUUCUUUUGUUUUAAGGGGGUUUUUUUGCUGUCUUUUCAGCCAGGUGGGUUUUGAGCAGUUCUGUGUCAGUGCUCUGUGUCAGGAUGUUGGGGACAACUCCUUCUGCAGACAGAAAUAAGUGGGAAGCCUGAUCCUCUCAGGUGAAAAAACAAGAGGUUUUGUCCCUUUAGAUAAUAUUUUUGUGUCUUUAACUCUUAUUUAUAUUGAUUACCUGAACAUUGGCACUAUUUUGAAUUUAUUUUCCUAGAAAGGAGUAUUUAUAUGGGAAGAAAAUCUGAUUGUAUAAACGAGUGAGUCUGAAGCAGUGCAGGAAAAGAGGACCAAGACUGGCUGUGCUAAAAGACAAACUUUCCUCACUGUUAGAAGUGAUCAUGACAAUUAUAUCAGAAGCCUGAUAGCAGUGAGGUGAUGAGAGGGAGAUUUGAUUACUGAAACAAGUGAAAUUUCCACAGCAUUAUCUGCCCAAAACUUCAUUCUGAGGCAGUGGAAUUCUUAUUAGACAACUGUGAUUUUCCCCAUUUUCCCAUAGACACACAGUCUUAUUACUAUUAAGGCCAAGGAGGUGCAAUAAUAUCUCACUUCCUGUAAUUUCUGUCCAAGUUACAUCAAAGCAUCUGCUUCCAACACCCUUAAUAAUUCUGGCUGCUGGUUUUUGCAUACUUGGGAUCAAUAUACUGGGAAUAGUGUGAGAAUGGAGAGCUCCACUUUGCUUUAAAAGAUUUGAAAACUGAUCCCCACCACGUUGUGGCAGAGGCUGAAAGUGGAAGGCUUUGUGAGAGGAGGUGUUAAGACUGAGUGUUGACAUCUUCCUCCAGAUUUUAUGCAGUUCAAAAACGAUCCCUUCUUAAUUAUCCCUUUGAUUUAUUCAGCUUUCCCGAAGUUUUUUUCCCAUUAGUGAAAGGUGGCUGCAUGUGCCUGUCUCCUGUUCUGAGCAGGAUGCUGUGUUACUCUUACAUCCUUCUGCAUCCCCCUGCACAUCAUUCUCCAGUUCUUGAGCAUUCCCUGUUAACAUUCCUGCCUGGGAAUGUGUGAGUUUGUACAGUUAAUAUCAUAGCUGAAGUGCACUGUGAGAUGAGACAGUUUAGAAAAAGGAGGAUAAAAGUCUCAUUUCAUGAAAAUGAAUCUUGUGAAACCACAUCUGUAACCUCUGAAGUGACCCAGAGUUCUCCAGGAGAGAUGGAUUCUGUGAAAUGGCACGGCUAAGACACAGAGGGGAAUCUCUCUCCUGGCUCCAGGGCGUUAAAACUCAUCCCCUGAUCUUGGUACCAUCUCAGAGAUGAUGUGAUGGGUCAAGAGCUGGCACAUAAUUUCAAGCCCCCAGUUGUGCUGGGUUUAACACAGGUUUGGUUUGGCAGGGACUGAACUGAUGCACUGGGAUGGACCCUGCGGGUGGACGUCGGUCCAGCAUCUGAGACAGUCCCUGCAGUGGUGACAGAAAACCCAAGGGAAGCAGCCAGACCUCCCCCAAAGGAGAAGGCAGACCCUGGUUCAGCUCUGUCAGUGCUGCUGAUGCUGCAGAUGGUCUGCAGGGUGGUUUUGGCAGAGCCAAGUUUGGCACAGGAGCAGCAUCACCUUCCUGUGAGGAGAGGCUGAGGGAGCUGGGGGGGGCUCAGCCUGGAGAAAAGGAGGCUCAGGGGGGACCUUCUGGCUCUGCAACUCCCUAACAGGAGGGGGGAGCCAGGGGGAUAUCAGGCUCUGCUCCCAGGGAACAAGGGACAGGAGAAGAGGACAGAGCCUCAAGCUGUGCCAGGGGAGGUUUAAGUAGGAUACCAGGAAGAAUUUCUUCACUGAAAGGGUGAUUAGAUACUGGAAUGUGCUGCCCAGGGGAGUCCCCGUCCCUGGAGGUGUCCAAGGAAAGACUGGACAUGGCACUCAGUGCUCUGGUCUAGUUGACCAGGUGGUGUUCCAUCAUAGGGUGGACUCAAUGAUCUCAGAAAUCUUUUCCAUCCUGAUUGAUUCUGUGAUUCCUUGAUUAAACCUUGGCACAACCCAUCUCUGUGAGCUGUUGCCUUAGGUCCUGCCCCCAGAGUUCCUAUUCUGGGGCAGGCAGCAGUGAAUGAGGCCAUAGUACCACGGUGCUGCUUUUCAGCAGCAGCAGAUUUGGGUGAAGUUUGGCCACAGCAGCUGUUCCAGGGCAGAGCAGGUGGAAAACACCAAACCUUGCAUGACUUGAGAAAAGAUGUUCUCACUCUGCUCACCAAGGAGCGUACCAAGUCGAAUUGUGGAAUAUCCUGAGCUGGAAGGGACCACAAAGAUCACUGAGUCCAACUCCUGGCCCUGCACAAGACACCCAACAAUCCCACCCUGUCCCUGAGAGUGCUGUCCAAACACGCCUUGAGCUCUGGAAGCCUUGGGGCUUUGAAUUGCUGAGGAGACUCUUUAUGUGAUUUGAUGAUUCCAGAUGGGUUAAAAAGGCUUUGUGCCUUUGCUUGUAGCACAGAAGCAAGUUAGGAACAAAUUCCUCCAGCUUCUCUUCCAGGCUGAAGGCAGUUUCUAGUAAUUGUCCUCCACAGAGGGAAGCAGAAGGAGUGGCUUAAUGGACUUGUCCCUUUGCCAUCUCCUGAAGGGUUUUGGUCCCACAUCAUCCAAGGUGGGCCCCUGGUCUGAUAUCACAGAAUGGUUUGGGUUGGAAGGGUCAUUUAGUCCAACCCCCUGCCAUGGGCAGGGACACCUCCCACUAUCCCAGGUUGCUCCAAGCCCUGUCCAACCUGGCCUUGAACAUUCCCAGGGAUGGGGCAGCCACAGCUUCUCUGGGCAAUGUGUGCCAGGGCCUCCCCACCCUCACAGGGAAGAAUUUCUUCCUAAAAUGUCUGAUCUAUACCUACCCCCUUUCACUUUGUUUAUCUGACAUGGAUUAAUGCCCCAGGAAGGCACAUCAAUUACACCAAAAAGUCUUCCCAUAUCACCUCAUCCCCAGCAUAAUUUAGGUGAAGAUUUGAUGGUACCAAUAAUAGCAGGAGGUUUUAAACUCCAAGCGUUGAAAAACGUGGUUUGAGGUGGGAUCAGGGAAGAGUUUUGCAGGAACUUAAGUAAAUGGUUUUAUGAAGAAAAAGAAUGACCAGUAGAGCUUUUUAGUCUUAUGUCUUGGUGCAUUUUCCAGUAUUCCAGUAAAGUUCCAGCUCAGCCCGACUCACCAGCUGAUGUCCAGUGUCUGCUGUUACUCUGGGAAGGGGGGAUUUACAGCUGGGGAGAUUUUUCUCCUGCAUUUUUUCCCAGGAGAAAAAAAAAAAGCCAAAGCAAGGCAGCUCUGUGCUGGUGAGAAUAUGAACGUGCUCAUUGACAGCUUCAUUUAGUGUUUAUAAACAUCAGGGAUCACAGGAAUGUUGUAACUUCAGGUUAGUAUUUUUAUUUUUAUAAAAAAACCUGCAGUUGAGGCACUUUGAGGCUCCUGAAACAGCCAAGAAAACAUUUGUAAGUUUGUAGGAAAUCUGUGUCACGCUUCUCAAGUUUAUAGCUGGGGGUGGGAUUAGAAGUGUCAACUUAUCUCCAGGAACUAAAACAUCCUGAUUGUAUCACAUGGAAUCAGCUUCCAAAACUCAUUCCUGCACGGAGAAACCCAGUCAAAUAAAAUUGGCCACUUUUAAAGAAGGACUUUGAAGCUUUGUGACCACUGGCAUUUGUGUCAAACCAGGGUUAUUUACAGGCUGCUGUGAAGGGUCUUAACUAAUCACUGCCAGCACUAUCCAGUUUUUCAUGCUUAGAGAGAAGAACUAUCAAAGCCUUGAGUUUUGAGUGGGGUCAAAGGGGUUUUUCACUCGGAGGCAUCAUGUUAUGAUCUCUGCUAGAGGCACAACAGAGCACUGGGGUUCAUUUUGCUUUCAAUAUGCAAAAAAAAAAAAAAAAAAGGAAUAUUCAGGAGGUGGAAGCAGAGUCUGGAGGUUAGAAACACCAUCCAGGAGUGUUGGGUUUGUGUUGGGAAAGCCAGAGCUCACCUAGAGCUCAUGGUCUCAAGGGGAUGUGAAGGACAGCAAGAUACGUUUAAAAGUCAUGUAGAUGUGGCACCUGGGAUGUGGUUUAGCACUGGGCUUGGCAGUGCUGGUUAAAUGGUUGGACUUGGUGAUCUUAGAGGGCUUUUCCAACCUAAGUGAUUCCAUGAACAUCUACUCCUGUGUUUUGGCCUCUGUGAUUAGCAAAGGUGUUAGAGACACAGAGCAACAUCAGCAGCACCAAAGGGUUGAGUCAGGGAGUGCCUGCAGGUCCAUGAGACUUGCUGGGUUCCAUCUGGAGGUGCUGAGAGGUGGCUGAUGUUAUAGCAGGGACACUCUGAAAAUCCAUGGAAAUUGGAGAAGGCCCUCAGAGAUGGGAGAAAGGCAAAUAUUACACCCAUAUUCCUCAGUCCACAAGGGCAAUCCAAGGAGCUACAGGGCAGUCAGCUCCAUCUGGACCCCUGGGGACAAAUUUCUUGGGACAAUUUUCUAGGCAUAUGCAGGGAAAGAAGGGGCUUGGGAACAGUCAGCAUGGAUUUACCAAGUGGAAAUCAGGCCUGACCCACCUGAGGAUCUUGUAGGUUAAAGUGACUGGAUUUGUGGGUGAGGGGAGGACAGUGGGUGGCAGCAACAACAACCUGGGAUGGUGGAAGGUGUCCCUGCCCAUGGCAGGGGUUGGAACAGGAUGAACUUUAAGGUCCCUUCAAACCCAAAUCCUUCUGGGAUUCUGUUCCAUGAUUUACCUUGGCUGUAGCUUUCCAAACUGUCUCCCACUGUAUCUAAGAUGGGAUGUUACAGCCAGAGAUGGAAGAACCAUUUUCCAGGAAGGAAUUGUUCCUUAUUUCCAUUCUAAACCUCUCCUGGCACAACUUGAGGCUGUUUCCUCUCAUCCUGUCCUUUGUUCCCUGGGAGCAGAGCCCGACCCCCCCCGGCUCCUCCCUCCUGUCAGGGAGCCAGCAGAUCUCCCCUGAGCCUCCUUUUCUCCAGGCUGAGCCCCCCCAGCUCCCUCAGCCGCUCCUGCUGCUCCAGCCCCUUCCCCAGCUCCGUUCCCUUCCCUGGACAAGUGAAUCCACCAACAUCCCAGGCUCUUUAAGCAGCACAACUUGUAGGCAGAGGGAAGUGACUUGACCUCGUUUGCUUGGGAUCCACAAAAUCCUUCAUCCAGUUUUGUGCCCCUCCCUCACCAAAGCAGAGGGAGUUCAUCAACAGAUUGACAGUUUGGGGUUUUUUGGGGGGGGCAAAAAGCAUUUCCCUGUAAUCUGCAUGUAUUUUCCAUAAGAUCUUAGAUGCUAUGAUAAAAAAUAAGGUAGAUGAAGUGGCUCAUCCUCUCUGUGUCAUGUCAGGAGCGGUGGAUGCGUGUGCAGGAGGCAAAGCCAGACUAGGAGCUGAGCAAAUUUACCCUUCCCGGUGCGACACGAGGGGUUUUUUCACUGCUGAGUUAAGGCUGAGAACAAGGAGCAUGUGUUCUCCCUGAGCAGGGCUGGGGCUGUUGGCAAAACUGUUACAAAACAUGUAACAAAACUACGGAGUGGGUUGAACUUCCCAGGUUUUACGUUUCUAGGAAGAGGCAGUUGAGAUUUUUUUUUCCCCCCACCAGCAACAGAUUGCAGCGAAUCCGAAUUAUGUGGCUGCCAUCUGCUUCCAAACAGGCUUGGAAAACACAGGCCAGCCCUCCCCAGCAUGGGUGAGGAGGGUGGUGGGGAGUGUUUACAAGUCUGUGUUUACGGGAUUUGGGAUUAAUGUGCUGCUUUCUUAUUUUUAGACAGAGCAAAUUUGAAUUAAACAGUGAGUUAAACACUCAGUGCCACCAGCUCUCAGCAUCGCAGUGUAAUUUAAAAAAAUGAGCUUCUGAAACCUUUCUCUACCAAAAUAUUGUGAAACCACCCCACCCAGUUUGGUAGGAUAAUCCUGGAAUGUGUAUUUUGACAUUUUUUUCUGCUUUCAGUCCAUUAUAACAGGCUUAGAUGCCACAUUCUGGGGUCUCAGUGGUGAAGCAGAAUCCCUCAAAAAAAAAAGGAAAAUUAUAGAAUCAUGGGAUGUUAAGGAGUUGGAAGAUCAUCCAGUGCCAACUCCCUCUGCCUUGGGUGGGGACACCCCCCACUAAACCAGGUUGGUCAAAGGUUUUAUCCAGCCUGGCUUUGGACAAUGCCGGGGUUGGGGCAUCCACAACCUCCCCGGGCAACCUGUGCCAGUGUCUCACCACCCUCACAGAAUAAGGUAGAGAAUAUUAGUAGAGAAUAAGGUUUUAUGGACUGUAAGGCUGGAAAACUGUGAUUUCUGGGGUAGGAUGUCCAUGUCACCAUCCCUGGAAGUAUUCAAGAAACACGAUGUGGCACUUGAGGACACGGUUUAGUGGUGAACAUGGUGUUGGUGGUGGGUCAAUGGUUGUACUUGGGGAUCCUAGAGGUCUUUUCCAAGCUGAUUCUAUGAUUUUGUGAUUCCCUGAUUCUAUGACUUAGAUGUGAGACAUUCCAGAGGCAAUAAAUCACAGGAUGACUUGAACUCGCACUGCUGCUGUCGGGACAUGUUGUGUAUGAGCUGCACAGGUACAUCUUCUGUUGUUAGUUUUAUGUGUUUAAAAAAAUCACAAUGUGAAAAAAACUGAUAUUAACAGUAAGGUAAAAUGAUAUUAACAGUUACUCCAGGUUCUGGAGUGAGCACCUAUGGGAAGACAUCAGAACAAGGUCCUUGUGCCAGGCUAUUCCUUCUGCCCCAGUCUCCUGCGUCCCUGCCAGCCCAUCGUUGUUGGGGGCUUUUGGGGUGACACUGUCCCACAAGGGGUGAGUUGUCAGGUGGUGACCCUGGUCAGUGCAGACUGGAGGUGUCACUCAGUCUGCAGAAUGCCCUGGGAAGCCAAAGGAAUAACGGGCCUGAAGUCAAGUGAUGUGACCUGUGAUGGAUCAGGAUCUCCGUGAAGGAGCAGAGUUCCUCGCCUGGUUAUUCCACUUGACUUGGCUGAUUUAACUGAUUUCACCUGAUUUCACACAGAGGGACUUGGCUUUUUUCACUCUGAGGGCCUUUUCUCAGCUGUGGGGAUGAAUCCAAGAGCUUCCCAGCAGCAGGUGGGCUGGGAGAGAGAUUUUUAUUCCAGUGAAGGUGCAGACACAGUAAAAGGAAUUUUUGGGUGGUUCAUUUAUUGGGCAUUUCCAUGUUUUCCGUGCCUGGUUUUUAGUGUCUCCUGUGAUGCUGCAGCUCCCAGGUGCUGCUCAAAAGAGAGCUUAGCAACUCAGGCACACACAGAAAGCAGCACUUGCACAAGGCACGAGGCAAGGAAACAUCUGCACUCCCUGUUUCCUUUAGUUCUUAACUGGAAAUCUUCAGCUGGAUCAUCCUUUUCACUCUAGCUCGUUCACGCCGCUGUUAGAGGAGAUGUGGGUGUAAUUUAUGCUCACAUUUACACUGCUGGGGUGGUUUAAAGUGGGAAGUGAGAAUCAGCCCUUCGGUUUUUGGUGGUUUCUUUGUGUUCUAACAAACAGAUGCACAGCUGGAUGCAGUAGCCUUUAACCAAGCCCUGGAGCAUCUCCUCAUUACUCUUAAUUCACAGCAGUGCCCGGGAGACCUGUUGGGAAUAAGUCACCUGAGGAUAAAGAACAGCAAAGCUCUCAGAGCUGCUUUGUUCUUUUAUUUGAUAAUUACGGUUUUGUUUUUCAUUAUUUAAGCUGGUUUAGUCUGUGUUGUGUCAUCCUGGGUGUGUGCACUGUUAUGGAUGGGACAGCUCAGCUGGGGAGGGAGGGAUUCCUGGAUUCCUGCUCAGAGCACACUCGGAUUUACUGAUUUGCUUGGGUGACCUUUGGACACAGAAGGGGGUUGAUAAAUCUCUGCUGACAAUCGAGGAGGCAACACCACUUCAGGAGGCAUCACCACUUGGAAUUUGCAAAUGCAAACCAGCAGCAAUUAGGGAAGAGUGACUUUGUGUAUUCCAGCUCUAGGAAUUUAUCUAAGGGAAGAUGCAUUUGGUGCGAGGUGUUGACGAGGAAGGUUAUGUUUUUGCCAGGUUCCUGGAAAGCUCUUUUUAAUAAAUUGCUGAUCUUUGGAGACCUGUAAAAAAUACCAUGGAUUGCCUUUUAUCAGCCUAUAAUGUGCUUUCAUCACUCCAGAGAAGUAUGUGAGAGUGAUACCCAGUUGGUCCCUGGAGGAAGCAGAGGAGACACUGCUAAAGGCUCCAGAUUUCUGGCAUUGGAAUGGAGCUUAAAUUUCCUUGUUAGCACAAAUAUCCCUCUAACCUGAUCACCAAAGUGCUGCUGCUCGUUUCUCACACACAGAAUUACUCUGCUGUAAUGCUACAAGUAAUUUAACUCAGUAUACUGAGUCAAAAACAACUCCUGUCUGAAAUGUUAUGAUUUAUUGCUUCUCGAGGCUCUUAAGAUGGAAAUGGCUUUCCAGGCUUGGAGCCGUAAAACAUCUAAAUAUUAUACUCUGCAUUUACUGAGAGGCAAAAUCUAUGUGGCAUUGAUGGCAUUGGGAUAAUAAAGAUGAGAUCCUGAAUGGCCAUUUUGCAAAUGUUUUCUGAGAACAACAUCAAAAAAGUAACCAGGUGUCGUAACCCUGCCUUAGAAUCACAGAAUGGUUUGGGUUGGAAGGGACCUUAAAGUUUAUCCCAUUCCAACGCCCUGCCAUGGGCAGGGACACCUUCCACUAGACCAGGUUGCUGCAAGCUCCCUCCAUCCUGGCCUUGAACAGUCCCAGGAAUGAGGAGUCCACAACCUCGCUGGGCAACUUAACUCUGGGAAAACUUCUGAAGCAGUUUGCUCAGGAAUUUGGAUUUUUAAACUCUCACCUCCUUAAUUCUCAAAUCCUGUGCAACAUGCACUGUUGCUUAAGGAAUAAAAAAAGAUUAGACAAUGAUUUCUUGGUUUAAUCUACCAUUUGAAAAAAAAAUGGUAACACUGGAGUUCUUAAAUUGUUCCUCUGCUUUCAUUACCAGUGAUGAAAUGCGGUUGGUAUGUGAUGUGUAAACCUGUGGAAUACCCACUUGGGCAGUGAGAGAAUGAAGGUCACACAACUGUCACUGGAGUGGAUUGAGUGCCAGGGAGUGGAUUGAAAUUAAAGGAAUGCUGGUUGCAUUGUUGGUGGCACAUGGACAGACACGCUCUCUCUGCUCCAGAGCAGGAGGAAUGCAACCUGUGCUUUUGCAUUUCCACUUCCCACUGACACACUCCAGCCCUGUUCCAUCUGUGCAUCAUUACCUUGGGCUGGUCCAACACUGUCCAUCUGAGUGUGUUGUUUUCAGAGACUUCUAAUGGUUGCAUCUAGUUCCUGUGACACCUCACAGAAUCAUGGAAUGCUUUGGUUGGGAAGGGACCUUAACUAUCUUCUACUUCCAAGCCCUUACCAGGGCAGGGACACCUUCCACUAUCCCAGGUUGCUCCAAGCCCCAUCCAAGCUGACUUUGGACACUCCCAGGGAUGGGGCAGCCACAGCUUCUCUGGGCAACCUGUGCCAGGGCCUCACCACCCUCACAGGGAAGAAUUCCUUCCCAAUACCCAUGUAACCCUGCCCUCUGCCACUUUGAUACCAUUCCCACUUGUCCUGUCCCUCCAGGCCUGUGUAAAAAAACCACCCACCAGUGUUUUUAUGGGUGGGGAUCUGCCAGGAUCUCCAGAGGGUUGCUGAGCUCUGAGCAAGGCUGUGUGUUCCUCAGCUCCUGGAGCAUCUCUGGGUUGGGCCCACAGCUGGUUAAGCAACUGCUGCUGGUUUAGAGGUGGCAUUUUGCCCUGUAAUCAGCAGACACAUCCUCUUCUUCCUUCUCCCCAGGUCAGAGCUGGUUUUUGACAGCUCCCAUGAAGCAACUGAGACCCUCUGUCUUGCUCUUCUCUGUACAAGAAGGUCCAUUGCAACCAUCCAUCUGCCAGCAAACCCUGUGCCUUGCCAGCCAACUCUGGGGCUCACCAAUGUGCACCUGCAUUUUUAUUUAACAUUUUAGCUUCUAUGGCCAAGUGGAGCUGAACUGGUGUUUGCCUCCAAGGCCAGUUUGUUCCCCUUCUCCUUCCAGUCACUACUUAACUGGCUCUAAAAACUGCUGACAGUUGUUUUAGGAGCUGGUUUUCGGGUCGGGCCUUUUGUAACUCUGCAGCAGGAGGAUAUUGUUAGAAACCAGAGGAAUGGAAGGGCUGGUGUUGCUCCAGGCAGGAGGAGAGGGUGCUUCACUGCUGGAGAAUCACACUUUCACUUUGAAGUGCUUCUCCUGCUCCUCCUGUGAAGGCACUCAAAGCCCCUUUGGCAGCACUCCAGCUGCCAGAGUGAGGUGUGUUAUUGGGAGCAGGGCAGGAAAACAGGAGGAGUUUGUAACAGAGGUCAUAGAAUCAUAGACCAGAAUGAUUUGGGUUGGAAGGGACCUUAAAGCUCAUCUUAUUCCAACCCCCUGCCAUGGGCAGGGACACCUUCCACUAGCCCAGAUUGCUCCAAGCCCCAUCCAAGCUGGCCUUGGACACUUCCAGGGAUGGGGCAGCCACAGCUUCUCUGGGCAACCUGUGCCAGGGCCUCCCCACCCUCACAGGGAAGAAUUCCUUCCUAAUAUCCCAUCUAAUCCCUGUCAGUUUGAAGCCAUUCCCCCUUGUCCUGUCCUUCCAUCCCUUGUCCCAAGUCCCUCUCCAGCCCUCCUGGAGCCCCUUUAGGCACUGGAAGGGGCUCUCAGGUCUCCCUGGAUCCUUCUCUUCUCCAGGUGAACACCCCCAGCUCUCCCAGCCUGGCUCCAGAGCAGAGGGGCUCCAGGCCUCUGAAGUGACUUGUCACCUAGAAACCCAGUGUGCUGGGGGAGAUAAUGAAUGGCAGAACUUUUGCCAGGUACUUUGGGAAAAUAGCAAGGAGAUUAUAGAGGGGAGUAUUCCCACAAUGAACACGCUGUGGCAGGGAUUUAUUUUUUCCCACUAAGGUGUAAAAGCAGGAGGUGUGUGAGCACUGAUUACUGAGAGGAGCGAGUUUCAAACACUCCCCUAAUUUAGCACCUCCUGAAAUAGCUCCGAGCCCCUUAAAUGAACGACAUUGCUGAGAGUCUUUCUGUCUGAGCACACCGGGAAAGCAGUGGAUUCUCCUGUUUGCAGGGAGACUGAAGAGCCUGAACAAAGGAGGGCAGUUACCUGCUCAGCAGCGAACAAAAAUACCUCCCAGCCCACAAGGAGUAGCAGUGAAUGGUGUGCUGGGAAAAGAGGGCAAGUGCUCCUGCUCUGUGGUCCCCAGCCCUGUCCUCACGAGGUCACGUCAGGCGAAAGCUGCCAGUGCAUGGAGGCAGCUCAGGUACAGCUUUUUAGAAGGGCACAGAGUGAAAAAUGAGCAAGAAGAAGGAUUAACUUGGCUCUGCCUGACAAGCAGGACCAGAGCCCUCACUGGGGGGAGCACGGAGGAAGGUUGGGUUUAAAUUUUGGCAACCACAGAAAGGUGAAGCAGCAUCUGGCUUGUCUUUUUUGGCACUUUCAGCUCAAACCCAGCGUGCCUGAGUGUGACCUCGCUCCUUAUCCUGCACCACACGGGCUCUGUGUGUGUUCUGAUGGGAUCUUUCACCGCAUCCCAUGCAAAACUCGGUUGAAUAUUCCGAGAUCCUGGACCGCUUCCAUCCCUUGGCAUCGUAGUGUUUCAGCAAGCACCAAUUUUCUUGUUUUUCCCCCGUGCAAUUGGAGAGUCGAAAUCUGUGAUGAAUAUAUUAACGUUCAUUGAAUUACAGAACAGACAUUUAGCAUUUUUCCUGAAGGAUCCUAAAAUGCUUUACAGGCACUUUAAUGUAUCACCACCCAAAUGCAGCCGCUUUUCAUGCUUAGAUUUAAUUCAAGAUGGAGGGAGAGAAUUUGCUCUGUUAUGUCACAGAAUCACAGAACAGUUUGGUUUGGAAGGGACCCUAAAGCUCAUCUCAUUCCAAACCCCUGCUGUGGGCAGGGAACUUUCCACUAAACCAGGUUGCUCCAAGCCUCAUCCAGCCUGGCCUUGAACACUUCCAGGGAUAUCCCAAAGUUUCUUUACAGGAGGACAGAUCGAUCCAGCUGCAUCAUUGGGAUUUGGAGGUGCAAGACAAGAUCCGUGGCUCUUUAUGAACCAGCUGGAUGCCCCAUCAUGUGUUGCUGGGAGUUUCCAUCCUCCUUUUCUCCUGAAAUGAAAAACCCUCCAAAUAUUCAGGGUGAAAGCCAAUAAAUUAUUCAUCUAUUCUUA